RNAcentral lists this ribosomal RNA (341 nucleotides) under uncultured Desulfovibrio sp. RNAcentral's name for it is "bacterial SSU rRNA". It matches the Rfam family "Bacterial small subunit ribosomal RNA", at positions 1039 to 1382 of the family's 1533-position model. Lineage: Bacteria; Pseudomonadati; Thermodesulfobacteriota; Desulfovibrionia; Desulfovibrionales; Desulfovibrionaceae. The record is from RNAcentral.
UGCUGCAUGGCGUGUCGUCAGCUCGUGUCGUGGGAUGUUGGUUAAGUCCGCAACGAGCGCAACCCUCGCCUUUAGUUGCCAGCAUUCAGUUGGGCACUCUAGAGGGACUGCCGGUGUCAAACCGGAGGAAGGUGGGGAUGACGUCAAGUCCUCAUGGCCUUUAUGUCUAGGGCUACACACGUACUACAAUGGCCGGUACAAAGGGCAGCCACUCAGCGAUGAGGCGCUAAUCCCAUAAAGCCGGUCUCAGUCCGGAUCGCAGUCUGCAACUCGACUGCGUGAAGUUGGAAUCGCUAGUAAUCGUAGAUCAGCAUGCUACGGUGAAUACGUUCCCGGGCCUU